Long non-coding RNA from Dreissena polymorpha, 170 nucleotides. RefSeq lists it as uncharacterized. The transcript has 2 exons. The record is from RefSeq and is a predicted model, not a curated record. Lineage: Eukaryota; Metazoa; Mollusca; Bivalvia; Myida; Dreissenidae.
GAAAUGGAACAGUCCAACUGAGUCUAGGGGUAGAUGUGCUGUACAUGUUUUAUCGCACAUUAAGGUCACAGGAAAUGGAACAGUCCAACUGAGUCUAGGGGUAGAUGUGCUGUACAUGUUUUAUCGCACAUUUAGGUCACAGGAAAUGGAACAGUCCAACUGAGUCUAGG